AGAGUUUGAUCAUGGCUCAGAACGAACGCUGGCGGCGGGCCUAAUACAUGCAAGUCGAACGAGAAAAUCCGGCUUCGGUCGGGUGAGUAAAGUGGCGAACGGGUGAGUAACACGUGGGCAAUCUACCCUUGAGUUUGGGAUAAGCCUUCGAAAGGAGGUCUAAUACCGGAUAAUAUCUUUGGAUGGCAUCUUCCGAAGAUCAAAGGCGGGGCAACCUGUCGCUUGGGGAUGAGCCCGCGCUCCAUUAGCUUGUUGGUAGGGUAACGGCCUACCAAGGCUACGAUGGAUAGCCGGCCUGAGAGGGUGAUCGGCCACACUGGGACUGAGAUACGGCCCAGACUCCUACGGGAGGCAGCAGUAGGGAAUAUUGCGCAAUGGACGAAAGUCUGACGCAGCCACGCCGCGUGGAUGAUGAAGCUUUUUGGAGUGUAAAAUCCUGUCAGUGGGGACGAACCGGCUGAGGAGUAACUGCCUCAGCUCUGACGGUACCCGCAGAGGAAGUUCCGGCUAACUCCGUGCCAGCAGCCGCGGUAAUACGGGGGGAACGAGCGUUGUUCGGAUUUACUGGGCGUAAAGGGCGUGUAGGCGGAUCUGCCAGUCAUGUGUGAAAACCGGUGGCUUAACCACCGGCCUGCAUGUGAUACUGCAGAUCUUGAGUACGGGAGAGGAAAGCGGAAUUCCAGGUGUAGCGGUGACAUGCGUAGAUAUCUGGAAGAACACCGGUGGCGAAGGCGGCUUUCUGGACCGAUACUGACGCUGAGGCGCGAAAGCCAGGGGAGCAAACAGGAUUAGAUACCCUGGUAGUCCUGGCCGUAAACGAUGGGUACUAGGUGUUGGGGGUAUCGACCCCCUCAGUGCCGCAGCAAACGCAUUAAGUACCCCGCCUGGGGAGUACGAUCGCAAGGUUGAAACUCAAAGGAAUUGACGG
RNAcentral lists this ribosomal RNA (928 nucleotides) under uncultured bacterium. RNAcentral describes it as "bacterial SSU rRNA". It matches the Rfam family "Bacterial small subunit ribosomal RNA", at positions 8 to 916 of the family's 1533-position model. The record is from RNAcentral.